RNAcentral lists this transfer RNA (45 nucleotides) under Vesicularia reticulata. RNAcentral describes it as "partial tRNA-Ser". The record is from RNAcentral. Lineage: Eukaryota; Viridiplantae; Streptophyta; Bryopsida; Hypnales; Pylaisiaceae.
AAGGGAUUCGAACCCUUGGUAAACAAGAGCUUNCAUAGCAUUUCC